Molecule: ribosomal RNA, 490 nt
Filed under: uncultured bacterium
Lineage: Bacteria
Description: partial 16S ribosomal RNA
Rfam family: Bacterial small subunit ribosomal RNA
Source: RNAcentral
AUUGAACGCUGGCGGCAUGCCUUACACAUGCAAGUCGAACGGCAGCAUGAUCUAGCUUGCUCGAUUGAUGGCGAGUGGCGCACGGGUGAGUAAUACAUCGGAACGUGCCCUGUAGUGGGGGAUAACUAGUCGAAAGAUUAGCUAAUACCGCAUACGACCUGAGGGUGAAAGUGGGGGACCGCAAGGCCUCAUGCUAUAGGAUCGGCCGAUGUCUGAUUAGCUAGUUGGUGAGGUAAAGGCUCACCAAGGCGACGAUCAGUAGCUGGUCUGAGAGGACGAUCAGCCACACUGGGACUGAGACACGGCCCAGACUCCUACGGGAGGCAGCAGUGGGGAAUUUUGGACAAUGGGCGAAAGCCUGAUCCAGCAAUGCCGCGUGUGUGAAGAAGGCCUUCGGGUUGUAAAGCACUUUUGUCCGGAAAGAAAUGGCUCUGGUUAAUACCUGGGGUCGAUGACGGUACCGGAAGAAUAAGGACCGGCUAACUACGUG